UCGCACGGCCAUACCAGCCUGGGUACGCCCGAUCUCGUCUGAUCUCGGAAGCUAAGCAGGGUCGGGCCUGGUUAGUACUUGGAUGGGAGACCGCCUGGGAGUACCAGGUGCUGUAAGCA
This 119-nucleotide ribosomal RNA is filed under the name Salmo salar (Atlantic salmon). Lineage: Eukaryota; Metazoa; Chordata; Actinopteri; Salmoniformes; Salmonidae. The record is from RNAcentral.